This 807-nucleotide long non-coding RNA is filed under the name Gallus gallus (chicken). Its description in RNAcentral is "lncRNA (ENSGALG00010019037.1)". Lineage: Eukaryota; Metazoa; Chordata; Aves; Galliformes; Phasianidae. The record is from RNAcentral.
UGUGUAUGAAGUAAAGCUGUGUCACUGAAUUCUUCCAUGAGAAAAAAAUGGCACUUGCUUUCAACAUUCAUCGACUCUUGCUGAACAUUUAGAUAGACCAAGCAGUGGACGUGAGCACAGUGAGGAGAGAGCCAGGGACGGACGAGGGAGUUGUUGCUGGCAUGCAAAAAUAUGGAGAACAGAGAGAGCUGAGGUUAAAACAGAGACUGUUCUUCAGAAAUAUCUAAGUCUUAUCAGAAAGAGCAUCCCAGCAUCUGAGAUCACCAGCAGUUCUCUUUCUUUCUGAUAGAUAAGAACACAAUCAUAGACAAAGAAAUGCUAACAACUUAUUUUGAGAGUCAUUCUGGAGAAACAUUUCUUCUUACUGUAUCAGCAUUGUUAUAAUCUUCAGUGUAUUGUUCAAAUGGUAAUGUCUGUCCACUGUAAUGAAUUUUCAUUACACUUUUUCUUAGAAACUCCAUAAAACUUUGUGAAGGCACAAUAAGAGUUAACUUUAUUUGGGGUUUCACUAUGUAGCAUCACUCUCCAAUAUGCUAUGUUUGUUUGUUUGAUCACAUUAACAUAUUUUUUGUGCUGUUGCAUUUGACAUUGCAACAGUACAGUAAAUUAUACAUCUUUCACGCUACCAGUCUCUAUGCAAGCACCUGUUCAAGUUAGACUGCACAAUAUGUCCAUAAUUUCCUCUGAAGGCAAUGUACUUUUCUUCAAAUGGGUGACUAAGUUUAAUAUAACCUGUAAACAGAAAUGAAAAGUCAUAUAUUUGUGAGUAAUUGUACUGAAGUCCUUUCCUAAUUCCUUCAAUUUUCC